CAGUAGCCGCGGUAAUACGUAGGUCCCGAGCGUUGUCCGGAUUUAUUGGGCGUAAAGCGUGCGCAGGCGGUUAUAUAAGUCAGAUGUGAAAUCCCCGGGCUCAACCUGGGAACUGCAUUUGAGACUGUAUGGCUAGAGUGUGUCAGAGGGGGGUAGAAUUCCACGUGUAGCAGUGAAAUGCGUAGAUAUGUGGAGGAAUACCGAUGGCGAAGGCAGCCCCCUGGGAUAACACUGACGCUCAUGCACGAAAGCGUGGGGAGCAAACAGGAUUAGAUACCCGCGUAGUCCCUGUCUCUUAUAC
RNAcentral lists this ribosomal RNA (301 nucleotides) under uncultured bacterium. Its description in RNAcentral is "partial 16S ribosomal RNA". It matches the Rfam family "Bacterial small subunit ribosomal RNA", at positions 509 to 807 of the family's 1533-position model. The record is from RNAcentral.